Corvus hawaiiensis (hawaiian crow) is the source of this 2485-nucleotide long non-coding RNA. RefSeq lists it as uncharacterized. The transcript has 3 exons. NCBI's taxonomy places the organism in Eukaryota, Metazoa, Chordata, Aves, Passeriformes, Corvidae. The record is from RefSeq and is a predicted model, not a curated record.
AUGUUUACUUCAAAAGACAUCAUCAGAUCCAAGUGUCCUGAAGAAGAGCUCUUCGUCUGGCUGAGGCCCAGUGAUGAGAUGCUGUGUCUAUAUGAAUUCAGGAUUUGAGCUCGAUCACAUCUGGACAUCUUGAAAUACAGGAAGCACAGAAGAAAACUUUUGAAUAAAGAAAAUGUGAACAUAUGUCUUCUGUAUUGGAAAAAGAAUCUCUAUGAAGUUCAAUAUCUGCCAUGAGUAGGUGGCUGUCAGUGCAUGUGGGAGAGCACUUGGUUACAUCAGGAAUUCUUGCUUCAUGAGUGAGAUGAGUGAAGGAAAAACUCCCACCAACACACAUUUUUUCAGCCUAUUUAAAUAGACUUGGCAAUACUAAAGAGAAGAUAAUAAUCUGGACACCCACAGACCGAGGGCCUACUCAUGCCUUCUACAUCUACACAGAGAAAGCAGAAGUCAUCCAACUCUGCUGCUGCAACUCUACUGUUUCCUCAAAUUUAGAAAGUCAAUUUCUUUCUUCCAAGGGCCAUGUGACCUCCGAGGUAAAGGCCUCCACUAAGAGUGGUGCCAUUUGGGAUCAGCUGUGGUCACCCAUUAGUAUCACAGUAAUUUGGCAGAAGCUGACACAUGCUUAUUGAAGACUGUAUGAACAAGGACCACCUUGACUGCCAAGCAAUUCUAAAGUCAAGAACUCUGGCAAAGCUGAACGUCUUUUGUGAGCCUCUAUAUAGAGUUCGUUUGAUACCUAUGGUCUGAAUCCUUGGUCAGUUUUAAAAGAGAGGAAUAAAAUUGUACCUUUCAGGAAAACAAGAAGUUGAAUAUGGGAAACAUCCAUUCCCCAUUCUCAUGAAAUUUUCCUUAAAAGGAAGUACAUGGAACCUGGACGACAACUUGAAUGUGAAAUGUUGGCAUCAUGUUUAGUGGCUAGUUACAUAUUUUUGUGGCUUUUCUGUGACAUUUCUGUGUCCAAAACUUGUGUUUUAUGAUGCCAAAACAGCCACUUCAGAAGAGACUAAAUCUUUUAAUGUUUUUAUGAUGUCAUUAGGAUAUGAAAGAAUGAUGGAAAAACUUCAAUGAAAGUCCAUAGAGAUUGUUUUUAGCUGUCCUUAUAAUGUAUCAUAGCAUCCCCAUCAAAUCUGGUGAGAUUCUGUUAGGAAUUGUUCUGGGGAUGGAACAAACUUUUUCUAUUGCCUCUUUCAUAUUCUAGGUAACAGAAGGCAGUUUACAACUAAGUCAUUAUAGCUGUAGAAUGCUGUCAGUUGUAUUUUUUAUUUUGCUUUGAAAGCAGCAAUGCAAGUGCCAAGGACAGAAUCUUGACACGAUACGUUGUUUAAAUGAUGGCAUAUCAAAGGGAACAGAAAUAUGUGCCAAGCUACAAGUAUGUGAAUAAGCACCUUGUCCAACACAUUGACAACUGUGUAUUACAAUGACAAACAUCUAAUUUUAAUUCAGGUAGGAAAGAUAUCACACUAAUUUUAAUAAUUUCAUUUAGCUAAGUUGUGGAAUGUAUUGCCAGAGAGUUUACAAUACCAAAAGUGUAGAUGCUUUUAACUGGACAAUUGUCACAUUCAUUGCAUAGAAAUCUUUGGAGGUUUGUUAGAUACAGAGAAACAGUUCAUUCAGGAACUUCUGAGCCUCUAACAGGAGUCUCUGGAAGAAUAUUCAGAACAACUGUAGCUUACAGAACUUUUAUUCUGUUCUUCUUUUAUUCUGUUCUUCUGCUAAGCAUCUACUUCUGCUCAUUGCUGAAGGCAACUGAGCUGUGUGAACCUUUGGUUUGCCCUAGUACAACUACACAUUUUUUUGACAUCUAAUGUGAAAUACUGUAAUAUUGCCAUAGCAAUAAUAGUGUUAAGAACAUAGUUAUCUGCAAACUCUGAAGAAGCUGACUAAUUAUUUCCUCAUCCAUUGCUAUUACCAUGCUGCCUAGGAUCAAUCAGAUGGAUAGCAUGUACUAACACCUACUUUCUCAGAUUCUCUGCAAAGAGAAAUAAAGUGAACCCUCUUCCCAAAAAACUUACAUAGGGGAAAACAGACACUUAGACCCAAAAUCAAAGCAGGUACAAAAAUAAAGGCAACAACAGAUAGCCCAAAAUACAAUGGGUUUAGUGCUACAACAGCUUAAUUACAAAGAUUCUUUUUUAGCCAUAAAAUAAACAAGAAACAUUUUGGAUAAUAUAUUAGCUGGCAGAUGUUUAUGGAGAGCACAUUCCCACAUGAGACUGAAUGUAAGGAAGCAUGAAAGUUCUUUCAGAGAUGAAAUAUGACAUAAGUGAUUGGUCAAAUGUGAAAGUCAACAUUUCAGUAAUUAAUCAGUAAUUCAUAAGAACUAGUAUGAGGAGAUCUGAUCAGUCACACAUAUUCCAUUUCAAAAUCAAAGGGAAAUCAAAUUCUCCUUAGCCUUAACCUAAUGAUGCUGUAUGUAUGCUGAACUAUAUGUAUGCUUUCAAAUUUUGUCUUUUAAUAUAUCACUUAUUGCAAAAAUAGUGUACAA